This 301-nucleotide ribosomal RNA is filed under the name uncultured eukaryote. RNAcentral describes it as "SSU rRNA". It matches the Rfam family "Eukaryotic small subunit ribosomal RNA", at positions 4 to 307 of the family's 1831-position model. The record is from RNAcentral.
CUGGUUGAUCCUGCCAGUAGUCAUAUGCUUGUCUCAAAGAUUAAGCCAUGCAUGUCUAAGUACAUACUUUUGAACAGUGAAACCGCGAAUGGCUCAUUAAAUCAGUUAUGGUUCCUUAGAUCGUUUCUACUACAUGGAUAACUGAGGUAAUUCUUGAGCUAAUACAUGCGAAAAAUCUCGACUCACGGAGAGAUGCUUUUAUUAGAUCAAAACCAAACGGCUUCGGCCGUAACAUUUGUGACUCUGAAUAACUUUGGGCUGAUCGUAUGGCCUUGUGCCGACGACGUUUCCUUCGAAGGUG